RNAcentral lists this ribosomal RNA (467 nucleotides) under uncultured bacterium. RNAcentral's name for it is "partial 16S ribosomal RNA". It matches the Rfam family "Bacterial small subunit ribosomal RNA", at positions 28 to 506 of the family's 1533-position model. The record is from RNAcentral.
GACGAACGCUGGCGGCGUGCUUAACACAUGCAAGUCGAACGGAAAGGCCCUGCUUUUGUGGGGUGCUCGAGUGGCGAACGGGUGAGUAACACGUGAGUAACCUGCCCUUGACUUUGGGAUAACUUCAGGAAACUGGGGCUAAUACCGGAUAGGAGCUCCUGCUGCAUGGUGGGGGUUGGAAAGUUUCGGCGGUUGGGGAUGGACUCGCGGCUUAUCAGCUUGUUGGUGGGGUAGUGGCUUACCAAGGCUUUGACGGGUAGCCGGCCUGAGAGGGUGACCGGCCACAGUGGGACUGAGAUACGGCCCAGACUCCUACGGGAGGCAGCAGUGGGGAAUAUUGCACAAUGGGCGGAAGCAUGAUGCAGCAACGCCGCGUGCGGGAUGACGGCCUUCGGGUUGUAACCAGCUUUCGCCUGUGACGAAGCGUGAGUGACGGUAAUGGGUAAAGAAGCACCGGCUAACUACGU